GAUUCGGCCGUGCAGGUUUUCACUUUUGGGUCCGGCGAAGAGGUAAAACCAUGUGCACCUGGAUUCUCAGAAGAACCUUACUUCCUCAAAGCAGAUCAAAAAUAUUUGGACAAGGGAAGGACAAUAGGGAAAGUCCUAUAUGAUGACUGCAGUGGGCGCCAGAGGUUCCUCUUUAACUCAGCAGAUUCCCAUUUUGAGGUGGAAUCAGAUGGGACCGUCUUAAUAAAAAGGCCCGUGACCUUACAUGAAGGGCACAAGAGCUUCGUUGUUCAUGCCUGGGACUCAGUGGGCAAGAAGGUCACUGCAAGAGUCACGGUGCAGCUUGAGCCACAGACCAGCCAUGUGGUUCUUGGUGUGGAAAAUGUCCCAGCUGAACAGUCUGAGGACAGUGAGUCUGUCCCAGUGCUGGAGUUUCCAUGGUCCUUGGCUGGUCUCAAAAGAAGGAAGAGACAGUGGAUCAUUCCUCCAAUCACAAUUCUUGAAGGUGACAUGGGUCCCUUU
Molecule: non-coding RNA, 501 nt
Organism: Paramormyrops kingsleyae
Lineage: Eukaryota; Metazoa; Chordata; Actinopteri; Osteoglossiformes; Mormyridae
Source: RefSeq, a predicted model, not a curated record